Long non-coding RNA from Solea senegalensis (Senegalese sole), 816 nucleotides. RefSeq lists it as uncharacterized. The transcript has 2 exons. Lineage: Eukaryota; Metazoa; Chordata; Actinopteri; Pleuronectiformes; Soleidae. The record is from RefSeq and is a predicted model, not a curated record.
UCGCAGGGCCACACACAUAGAGACUUCACUCUCACACCUAUGGUUAAUUUGGAGUGUCCUAUCUACUUAAUCCCCCGUAUUGCAUGUUUUUGGACUGUGGGAGGAAGCUGGAGAAAACAUGCAAACUCCAUGCUGCAAAAGCAAGAGUGCUCACCACUACACUAACCGUGUGGGAUAGUUUAGUAUGUUGUCCACAUAAAUACACACAAAUAGAGGUGUCUGAUGAUAUACCUUUAAGUGUGUGUGUGUGUCGACAGUGAAACGUGGCUUUUUACUACCGUUACCUGACACUUGACUCAAGGUGGCGACGAUAUGAUGAAAUCACCUUUUCCUUCUUCUCUUCAGUGGCUGCGAGCGCUGCCCUCCAGCAGACAGAGCUUCAGUGUGGUGUUUGGAGAGUGUCCUUACUGCAGCAAGCCCAUCACUGUGAAAAUGUCCUGAGGAGGGACGACGUCAGUAGAACGUCUGUGACAACCUCCCGACAAACAAACCCCCGAAGAAAAGCGAGGCGCCCACAAAAACCAGCCAGUGGAAGUGUCUGUUUGUCCAUGUGCGACCGGUGUGGGAUUGUGCACCUACAGCGCCGGGGGCGUGUCUCCCGUGGUGACCCUGUGACCUCCAAUCGCUGCACUCACAGUCCAGAUGUGAGUAUUGUGUCCUCUGUGGUCGGACUCUCUCGUCCUCGUCCCAUUUCCUGAAGAUAACUUUGUUUUCCGUGUCCUGUUGGAGGAUAAUUUCACGUGUUUGCUCUUUAAAACUGGACAUUCUACUGUGCUGUUUAACAUAUUAACACAUAAAUAAACAUGUGGAAGAAAA